This 252-nucleotide ribosomal RNA is filed under the name uncultured bacterium. RNAcentral's name for it is "partial 16S ribosomal RNA". It matches the Rfam family "Bacterial small subunit ribosomal RNA", at positions 524 to 776 of the family's 1533-position model. The record is from RNAcentral.
UACAGAGACUGCAAGCGUUGCUCGGAAUCACUGGGCGUAAAGGGUGCGUAGGCGGGUCUUUAAGUCAGGGGUGAAAUCCUGGAGCUCAACUCCAGAACUGCCUUUGAUACUGAGGAUCUUGAGUUCGGGAGAGGUGAGUGGAACUGCGAGUGUAGAGGUGAAAUUCGUAGAUAUUCGCAAGAACACCAGUGGCGAAGGCGCUCACUGGCCCGAUACUGACGCUGAGGCACGAAAGCGUGGGGAGCAAACAGG